Molecule: non-coding RNA, 71 nt
Organism: Ixodes scapularis (black-legged tick)
Lineage: Eukaryota; Metazoa; Arthropoda; Arachnida; Ixodida; Ixodidae
Source: Rfam
GCGUCGGUGGUUCAGUGGUAGAAUACUCGCCUGCCACGCGGGUGGCCCGGGUUCGAUUCCCGGCCGACGCA